Hibiscus syriacus is the source of this 164-nucleotide long non-coding RNA. RefSeq lists it as uncharacterized. The record is from RefSeq and is a predicted model, not a curated record. The transcript is spliced from 3 exons. NCBI's taxonomy places the organism in Eukaryota, Viridiplantae, Streptophyta, Magnoliopsida, Malvales, Malvaceae.
UUGAUAAAAUAGAGAAUUUAAGACUGAUCGGCCAUCAAGAACUUUGAAUCAACCAAACAGCUUAGGGGAUACAUCUCUGGAUUUUGAUGCCAGAAAAUACAAACCAAUUUCAAUAGGCUUUUUGGCACAAAACUUCUUCAAAUUAUCUCAUUAUGCAAUCUUAG